GACGAACGCUGGCGGCGUGCUUAACACAUGCAAGUCGAACGGAAAGGCCCUGCUUUUGUGGGGUGCUCGAGUGGCGAACGGGUGCGUAACACGUGAGUAACCUGCUCUUGACUUUGGGAUAACUUCAGGAAACUGGGGCUAAUACCGGAUCGGAGCUCCUGCUGCAUGGUGGGGGUUGGAAAGUUUCGGCGGUUGUGGAUGGACUCGCGGGUUAUCAGCUUGUUGGUGGGGUAGUGGCUUACCAAGGCUUUGACGGGUAGCCGGCCUGAGAGGGUGACCGGCCACAAUGGUACUGAGAUACGGCCCAGACUCCUACGGGAGGCAGCAGUGGGGAGUAUUGCACAAUGGGCGGAAGCCUGAUGCAGCAGCGCCGCGUUCGGGAUGACGGCCUUCGGGGUGUAAACCGCUUUCGCCUGUGACGAAGCGGGAGUGACGGUAAUGGAUAAAGAAGCACCGGCUAACUACGUG
This 468-nucleotide ribosomal RNA is filed under the name uncultured bacterium. Its description in RNAcentral is "partial 16S ribosomal RNA". It matches the Rfam family "Bacterial small subunit ribosomal RNA", at positions 28 to 507 of the family's 1533-position model. The record is from RNAcentral.